Molecule: small nucleolar RNA, 68 nt
Organism: Polyodon spathula (Mississippi paddlefish)
Lineage: Eukaryota; Metazoa; Chordata; Actinopteri; Acipenseriformes; Polyodontidae
Source: RefSeq, a predicted model, not a curated record
CUGGAAGUGAUGGAUAACGUGACAUCUGAUUGUACAGUGAUGUUCAAUAUUCAUACUGUCUGAUCCAG